RNAcentral lists this ribosomal RNA (913 nucleotides) under Aspergillus melleus. Its description in RNAcentral is "LSU rRNA". It matches the Rfam family "Eukaryotic large subunit ribosomal RNA", at positions 38 to 964 of the family's 3401-position model. The record is from RNAcentral. Lineage: Eukaryota; Fungi; Ascomycota; Eurotiomycetes; Eurotiales; Aspergillaceae.
GCAUAUCAAUAAGCGGAGGAAAAGAAACCAACCGGGAUUGCCUCAGUAACGGCGAGUGAAGCGGCAAGAGCUCAAAUUUGAAAUCUGGCCCCCUCGGGGUCCGAGUUGUAAUUUGCAGAGGAUGCUUCGGGUGCGGCCCCCGUCUAAGUGCCCUGGAACGGGCCGUCAUAGAGGGUGAGAAUCCCGUCUGGGACGGGGUGUCCGCGUCCGUGUGAAGCUCCUUCGACGAGUCGAGUUGUUUGGGAAUGCAGCUCUAAAUGGGUGGUAAAUUUCAUCUAAAGCUAAAUACUGGCCGGAGACCGAUAGCGCACAAGUAGAGUGAUCGAAAGAUGAAAAGCACUUUGAAAAGAGAGUUAAAAAGCACGUGAAAUUGUUGAAAGGGAAGCGCUUGCGACCAGACUCGCCCGCGGGGUUCAGCCGGCAUUCGUGCCGGUGUACUUCCCCGCGGGCGGGCCAGCGUCGGUUUGGGCGGCCGGUCAAAGGCCCCCGGAAUGUAGUGCCCCUACGGGGGCACCUUAUAGCCGGGGGUGCAAUGCGGCCAGCCUGGACCGAGGAACGCGCUUCGGCACGGACGCUGGCAUAAUGGUUGCAAACGACCCGUCUUGAAACACGGACCAAGGAGUCUAACAUCUACGCGAGUGUUCGGGUGUCAAACCCGUGCGCGCAGUGAAAGCGAACGGAGGUGGGAGCCCCCCCGCGGGGCGCACCAUCGACCGAUCCUGAUGUCUUCGGAUGGAUUUGAGUAAGAGCGUAAAUGUGGGGACCCGAAAGAUGGUGAACUAUGCCUGAAUAGGGCGAAGCCAGAGGAAACUCUGGUGGAGGCUCGCAGCGGUUCUGACGUGCAAAUCGAUCGUCAAAUUUGGGUAUAGGGGCGAAAGACUAAUCGAACCAUCUGGUAGCUGGUUCCUGCCGA